Galeopterus variegatus (Sunda flying lemur) is the source of this 360-nucleotide RNA transcript. It is a transcript of the gene named M-phase phosphoprotein 6 pseudogene, with no coding region annotated. The transcript has 2 exons. NCBI's taxonomy places the organism in Eukaryota, Metazoa, Chordata, Mammalia, Dermoptera, Cynocephalidae. The record is from RefSeq and is a predicted model, not a curated record.
CAUGGCGGCCGAGCGGAAGACCAAGUUGUCCAAGAACCUGCUCACAUGAAGUUCAUGCAAAGGGGACUGGACUCGGAAACCAAGAAACAACUAGAAGAGGAAGAAAAGAAAAUCAUUAGUGACGAGCACUGGUACUUGGAUUUGCCAGAGCUUAAAGAGAAAGAGAGUUUCAUAAUAGAAGAGCAAAGUUUCUUGUUAUGUGAAGAUCUUCUCUAUGGAAGAAUGUCAUUCAGGGGAUUUAAUCCUGAAGUGGAGAAAUUAAUGCUUCUGAUGAAUGCUAAGAACAAAGCAGAAGAAGCUGAAGAUGAAACAGCAGCAGUGAUAAAGUUUGGUGCAGAGAAUGAUGUAAUUCAUAUUUGA